RNAcentral lists this small nuclear RNA (188 nucleotides) under Trichobilharzia regenti. RNAcentral's name for it is "U2 spliceosomal RNA". It matches the Rfam family "U2 spliceosomal RNA". From Rfam's summary of the family: U2 is a small nuclear RNA (snRNA) component of the spliceosome (involved in pre-mRNA splicing). Complementary binding between U2 snRNA (in an area lying towards the 5' end but 3' to hairpin I) and the branchpoint sequence (BPS) of the intron results the bulging out of an unpaired adenosine, on the BPS, which initiates a nucleophilic attack at the intronic 5' splice site, thus starting the first of two transesterification reactions that mediate splicing. Lineage: Eukaryota; Metazoa; Platyhelminthes; Trematoda; Strigeidida; Schistosomatidae. The record is from Rfam by way of RNAcentral.
CUCGGAUCUCGAGUAUCUGAGCUAAGAUCAUGUGUGGUAUCUGUUCUUUACAGUGUAAUUUCUGCAAUGGUGUCUAAACUGAGACUAAUGAAUUUACCUGUAUUUUUCCCUUACGGACGAGUGCUGUGAACUUGCUCAACGCCGUCCACGGGUCCGACUCUUAUCGCAUUAUUAUUGACAAUAUUCUU